This 464-nucleotide ribosomal RNA is filed under the name uncultured bacterium. Its description in RNAcentral is "bacterial SSU rRNA". It matches the Rfam family "Bacterial small subunit ribosomal RNA", at positions 330 to 793 of the family's 1533-position model. The record is from RNAcentral.
UCCAGACUCCUACGGGAGGCAGCAGUGAGGAAUAUUGGUCAAUGGGCGAGAGCCUGAACCAGCCAAGUCGCGUGAGGGAGUACUGCCCUAUGGGUUGUAAACCUCUUUUGUCGGGGAGCAAAAGCCGGACGUGUCCGGCUGUGAGAGUACCCGAAGAAAAAGCAUCGGCUAACUCCGUGCCAGCAGCCGCGGUAAUACGGAGGAUGCGAGCGUUAUCCGGAUUUAUUGGGUUUAAAGGGUGCGCAGGCGGAUUUUUAAGUCAGCGGUCAAAUCGUGGGGCUCAACCCCAUCCAGCCGUUGAAACUGUCGGACUAGAGACGGCGAGAAGUACGCGGAAUGCGCGGUGUAGCGGUGAAAUGCAUAGAUAUCGCGCAGAACUCCGAUUGCGAAGGCAGCAUGCCGGCUCCACACUGACGCUGAGGCACGAAAGCGUGGGUAUCGAACAGGAUUAGAUACCCGCGUAA